AUGACCUUGGUCAAGGCGGUCCUUACGGCGGUGGCCAUUUACCACAUUACACCGCUUGACCUUCCGGUGGAGGUUCUCAAGGUGAUCGAUAGGUUGCGGCGGGCCUACCUUUGGGCUGGAACUGACAAAGUAACUGGUGAAAAGUGCAAAGUAAACUGGGAGUUGGUCUGCAGGCCAAAAGAAUUUGGAGGCCUUGGCAUUUUGCACCUUGGCAAGUUUGCCGCUGCCCUCCGUUGCGAUGGCUUUGGCUCGAAUGGGAUGACCCACCACGUGCGUGGCGCGGUAUGGGGACACCUUGCACGUCCGAUGACCAUAACCUGUUUGCGGCUGCGACUAAGGUCACGAUUGGUGAUGGAGAGAAGGCUUCCUUCUGGGAGUUACCUUGGCUGGAGGGUAUUAGGCCAAAAGACAUGGCUCCAAACAUUUUUGAGAUUUCAUGCAAGAAGGGGGUAUCUGUUGCCACGGCCUUGA
Molecule: ribosomal RNA, 471 nt
Filed under: Triticum aestivum (bread wheat)
Lineage: Eukaryota; Viridiplantae; Streptophyta; Magnoliopsida; Poales; Poaceae
Description: partial small subunit ribosomal RNA
Source: RNAcentral